GAUGAAGGAACGUAGCGAAAUGCGAUAAGUAAUGUGAAUUGCAGAAUUCAGUGAAUCAUCGAAUCUUUGAACGCACAUUGCGCCCGCUGGUAUUCCGGCGGGCAUGCCUGUUCGAGCGUCAUUUCAACCCUCAAGCUCUCCGGAGUUUGGUGUUGGGGCGCCUGGGGCUUUUCGACCUCAGGGCCCUCAAGUCCAUCGGCGGGACCGCCAGGACACUGAGCGCAGUAGUAUUAUUUCGCUCGGUAGGAUCUUCCACGGCGGGUCGAUCUGGCCGCUAAACCCCCCAAUUCUCACCAAAGGUUGACCUCGGAUCAGGUAGGAAUACCCGCUGAACUUAAGCAUAUCAAUAAGCGGAGGA
Molecule: unclassified non-coding RNA, 358 nt
Filed under: soil metagenome
Description: partial contains 5.8S ribosomal RNA, internal transcribed spacer 2, and large subunit ribosomal RNA
Rfam family: 5.8S ribosomal RNA (bases 1-121)
Source: RNAcentral